RNAcentral lists this ribosomal RNA (825 nucleotides) under Dacrymyces pachysporus. RNAcentral describes it as "eukaryotic LSU rRNA". It matches the Rfam family "Eukaryotic large subunit ribosomal RNA", at positions 68 to 944 of the family's 3401-position model. The record is from RNAcentral. Lineage: Eukaryota; Fungi; Basidiomycota; Dacrymycetes; Dacrymycetales; Dacrymycetaceae.
ACAAGGAUUCCCCCUAGUAACUGCGAGUGAAGCGGGAAAAGCUCAAAUUUAAAAGCCGCAAGGCGUUGUAAUCUAGAGAAGUGUUUUCGGCCGCUGCCUCGAACAAGUUCCUUGGAACAGGAUGUCGAAGAGGGUGAGAAUCCCGUACUUAUCGAGCUCCCAGCGUCUAUGUGAUACACUUUCGAAGAGUCGAGUUGUUUGGGAAUGCAGCUCAAAACGGGUGGUAAACUCCAUCUAAAGCUAAAUAUUGGCGAGAGACCGAUAGCGAACAAGUACCGUGAGGGAAAGAUGAAAAGCACUUUGGAAAGAGAGUUAAACAGUACGUGAAAUUGCUAAAAGGGAAGCGCUUGAAGUCAGUCGCGUUGCAUGAACUCAGCCGCAAGGCGCAUUUUCUUGUAACGGGCCAACAUCAGUUUCGACCGCGGAAUAAGGAUUUGAGGAAGGUGGCAGCCUCGGCUGUGUUAUAGCCUCUUGUCGUACGCCGCGGUUGGGACUGAGGAAUCUUAGGAUGUUGGCGUAAUGGCUUUAAGCGACCCGUCUUGAAACACGGACCAAGGAGUCUAACAUGUCUGCGAGUGUUUGGGUGUCAAACCCAUGCGCGCAAUGAAAGUGAACGUAGGUGCGAGGCCUCGGCCGCAGCAUCGACCGAUCCGGAUCUUUAGUGAUGGAUUUGAGUAAGAGCAUAUAUGUUGGGACCCGAAAGAUGGUGAACUAUGCCUGAAUAGGGCGAAGCCAGAGGAAACUCUGGUGGAGGCUCGUAGCGAUUCUGACGUGCAAAUCGAUCGUCAAAUUUGGGUAUAGGGGCGAAAGACUAAUCGAACCAUC